RNAcentral lists this ribosomal RNA (261 nucleotides) under uncultured bacterium. RNAcentral describes it as "partial 16S ribosomal RNA". It matches the Rfam family "Bacterial small subunit ribosomal RNA", at positions 96 to 353 of the family's 1533-position model. The record is from RNAcentral.
UGGCGGACGGGUGAGUAACGCGUGGGUAACCUGCCCUGUACAGGGGGAUAACAGCUGGAAACGGCUGCUAAUACCGCAUAAGCCCACGGGUCGGCAUCGACCAGAGGGAAAAGGAGCAAUCCGCUUUGAGAUGGUCUCGCGUCCGAUUAGCUAGUUGGUGAGGUAAUGGCCCACCAAGGCGACGAUCGGUAGCCGGACUGAGAGGUUGAACGGCCACAUUGGGACUGAGACACGGCCCAGACUCCUACGGGAGGCAGCAUG